Molecule: small nuclear RNA, 191 nt
Gene: U2
Rfam family: U2 spliceosomal RNA
About the family: U2 is a small nuclear RNA (snRNA) component of the spliceosome (involved in pre-mRNA splicing). Complementary binding between U2 snRNA (in an area lying towards the 5' end but 3' to hairpin I) and the branchpoint sequence (BPS) of the intron results the bulging out of an unpaired adenosine, on the BPS, which initiates a nucleophilic attack at the intronic 5' splice site, thus starting the first of two transesterification reactions that mediate splicing.
Source: Ensembl
GCAACUUCUCGGCCUUUUGGCUAAGAUCAAGUGUAGUAUCUGUUCUUAUCAGUUUAAUAUCUGAUACGUCCCCCAGCGGGGGACUACAUAUUAAGCGGAUUUUUAGAACAGGGAGUCGGCAAAGGAGCUUGCUCCAUCUGCUCCACGCAUCGACCCAGUAUUGCAGCGCCUCCGGGAGCGGUGCACUUUCU